AGUGGCGGACGGCUGAGGAAUACAUCGGAAUCUACUUUUUCGUGGGGGAUAACGUAGGGAAACUUACGCUAAUACCGCAUACGACCUACGGGUGAAAGCAGGGGACCUUCGGGCCUUGCGCGAUUGAAUGAGCCGAUGUCGGAUUAGCUAGUUGGCGGGGUAAAGGCCCACCAAGGCGACGAUCCGUAGCUGGUCUGAGAGGAUGAUCAGCCACACUGGAACUGAGACACGGUCCAGACUCCUACGGGAGGCAGCAGUGGGGAAUAUUGGACAAUGGGCGCAAGCCUGAUCCAGCCAUACCGCGUGGGUGAAGAAGGCCUUCGGGUUGUAAAGCCCUUUUGUUGGGAAAGAAAUCCAGCUGGCUAAUACCCGGUUGGGAUGACGGUACCCAAAGAAUAAGCACCGGCUAACUUCGUGCCAGCAGCCGCGGUAAUACGAAGGGUGCAAGCGUUACUCGGAAUUACUGGGCGUAAAGCGUGCGUAGGUGGUUGUUUAAGUCUGUUGUGAAAGCCCUGGGCUCAACCUGGGAACUGCAGUGGAAACUGGACGACUAGAG
This 556-nucleotide ribosomal RNA is filed under the name Stenotrophomonas sp. RNAcentral describes it as "bacterial SSU rRNA". It matches the Rfam family "Bacterial small subunit ribosomal RNA", at positions 94 to 646 of the family's 1533-position model. Lineage: Bacteria; Pseudomonadati; Pseudomonadota; Gammaproteobacteria; Lysobacterales; Lysobacteraceae. The record is from RNAcentral.